This 495-nucleotide ribosomal RNA is filed under the name uncultured bacterium. Its description in RNAcentral is "partial 16S ribosomal RNA". It matches the Rfam family "Bacterial small subunit ribosomal RNA", at positions 28 to 507 of the family's 1533-position model. The record is from RNAcentral.
GACGAACGCUGGCGGCGUGCCUAAUACAUGCAAGUAGAACGCUGAAGGAGGAGCUUGCUCUUCUGGAUGAGUUGCGAACGGGUGAGUAACGCGUAGGUAACCUGCCUGGUAGCGGGGGAUAACUAUUGGAAACGAUAGCUAAUACCGCAUAACAGUAGAUGUUGCAUGACAUUUACUUAAAAGGUGCAAUUGCAUCACUACCAGAUGGACCUGCGUUGUAUUAGCUAGUUGGUGGGGUAACGGCUCACCAAGGCGACGAUACAUAGCCGACCUGAGAGGGUGAUCGGCCACACUGGGACUGAGACACGGCCCAGACUCCUACGGGAGGCAGCAGUAGGGAAUCUUCGGCAAUGGACGGAAGUCUGACCGAGCAACGCCGCGUGAGUGAAGAAGGUUUUCGGAUCGUAAAGCUCUGUUGUAAGAGAAGAACGAGUGUGAGAGUGGAAAGUUCACACUGUGACGGUAGCUUACCAGAAAGAGACGGCUAACUACGUG